RNAcentral lists this unclassified non-coding RNA (367 nucleotides) under Hevea brasiliensis (rubber tree). Lineage: Eukaryota; Viridiplantae; Streptophyta; Magnoliopsida; Malpighiales; Euphorbiaceae. The record is from RNAcentral.
AGAGAGAGAGAGAGAGAGUAAUCACAUAAUGUGGAACAAUCAUGCAAAAUGCAAAUUGACAUUCUCAAGAAACAUUCAAGGCCCACUAGAUAAAUAUUAACUUUAAAUUUUUAAGCAUCAAUAUCCUUUUGGAAAUUGAUAACCACAUGUUUGGUCCAAGAAAUCAUGCUAAAUAUACAUAUGUAUGCAAGCAUUCCUUUUCAACCAUAAUUGAUAAUUUGAGGGACAAAGCCAAGAGGCAAAAACACCACACAAGAAAGAGAGAGAAUAAUCAUAUAAAGUGGAACAAUCAUGCAGAAUGCAGUGAAAAAAGAUAAACUAUUCUGUAAACUAUAACAGUUACAUUGUCCAAUUGUUUUGUUCGAUU